CAGCCUCAGCGGCAGCCGAGGACGUCUCGCCUGUGGCUGAUGCCGCCUCCUGGAACCCCGCCACGCUCUCCUCCCCGGCUUCAUGCGCUUCUCCGGGUAGCUGCUGAUCCUGCUCCGCUGGCGCCGAUCCUCCCUGUUAGUAUUUAUUUAAAAAUGAUGCCAUGCAUACAACAAAUAUUAUAUGAAAGAGAUUUACUGGAUGGAGGUAAAGAAUGGAAGAGGAAAAGGAAAGAGACAUGGUGGGAGCUCCCAGGAAAGAAAGAGAGGUGGAGAGAGCAAGAGAGAAGAGUAAGAGAGGAAGUGUUUAUCACGAAUCACAAAAGUUAAAGAAAGAAUACACGUCUCUGGCAAGAAAACAAGAUUUAAUGUUUCCUAUGAAGCAUACUGUCUAAUAUGGAUUCUGAUGUACCCUGGAACAUUCCAGAUGAGGACAAGCAUUCAUGGUAAUUGGACUGGAGAAUUCGAUACUACGAUGGAGCAGCUGAGAGUGACCAUUAUCACAGUAAAUUCUACCAGAGUGGACGCAGGACUAGCCACAGGAUUAUCACCAUGGAUUGCUGCAGCCAUGAAUCAUCUGAAGGAAUGGGCGGGCAUGGGAGCGUUAGCAGGCCUUCUGGUGUUGGUCUCCUUGGUUUGCCUGUGGUGUAUAUGCAAGAUUAGAGUCUCACAACAGCGUAAUGCAGCCAUGAUCAUUCAGGCCUUUACAGCCAUUGAAGCAGGACAGUCUCCCCAAGCAUGGUUGGCUACCAUAAAAAGCUAAAAUGUUAUGCUCAGGAUGCGAGGCUAAGCACUGCACUCAGGGUCAGCCGCUUUGGACCCAGAGAAGAGCAUGUCUGAUUGCAUGCGGGUUGAUGCCCCAGGUCUCGCCUCUGAGAAAAAGGUAUCAGAGGGGUCUGAUGCUCUUUGGGUGGAUGACACCUAAAUGAACAUCAGUACAAAGUCCCAAUUUAUUUCUAAUAUCAGAGAUCAGACCUCUACUCUUGCCUGAUGCGUCUAAAACAAAAAGGGGGAACUGUAGAGAGCUGCGUAAUGCCUCGCCUUAAAGAUGGAGCUGGUUUCCGCCUUCCACCUUCCAGAUGGUGAGUGCUCUCUGUCACAAACAACUCCACAUUUGGCUAAGGCUGAGGAUCUGGCUUGCUUUCAUGUAUGUGGACCUAUCUGCAUUGCCCACGUGGCACCCUGGGGUUGGCUACCCAGAGGCUAUUUAAGGUGUGGGCUGGCUUUCCCCAGGGUCAGAUGAUUGUUCAAGGUCCCUGAAUAAACU
Meriones unguiculatus (Mongolian gerbil) is the source of this 1264-nucleotide long non-coding RNA. RefSeq lists it as uncharacterized. The record is from RefSeq and is a predicted model, not a curated record. The transcript has 4 exons. Lineage: Eukaryota; Metazoa; Chordata; Mammalia; Rodentia; Muridae.